RNAcentral lists this ribosomal RNA (739 nucleotides) under uncultured marine bacterium. Its description in RNAcentral is "bacterial SSU rRNA". It matches the Rfam family "Bacterial small subunit ribosomal RNA", at positions 8 to 790 of the family's 1533-position model. The record is from RNAcentral.
AGAGUUUGAUCCUGGCUCAGAAUGAACGCUGGCGGCAUGCCUAACACAUGCAAGUCGAACGAGAUCUUCGGAUCUAGUGGCGCACGGGUGAGUAACGCGUGGGAACCUACCUUUUAGUUCGGGACAACGUUUGGAAACGAACGCUAAUACCGUAUACGCCCUCCGGGGGAAAGGUCAGCCGCUGAAAGAGGGGCCCGCGUCUGAUUAGCUUGUUGGUAAGGUAAUGGCUUACCAAGGCUUCGAUCAGUAGCUGGUCUGAGAGGAUGAUCAGCCACACUGGGACUGAGACACGGCCCAGACUCCUACGGGAGGCAGCAGUGGGGAAUAUUGGACAAUGGAGGCAACUCUGAUCCAGCAAUGCCGCGUGUGUGAUGAAGGCCUUAGGGUUGUAAAGCACUUUCAACGGUGAAGAUGAUGACGGUAGCCGUAGAAGAAGCCCCCGGCUAACUUCGUGCCAGCAGCCGCGGUAAUACGAAGGGGGCGAGCGUUAUUCGGAAUUAUUGGGCCGUAAAGGGCUCGCAGGCUGCUUGAACAGUUAGACGUGAAAUCCCCGGGCUCAACCUGGGAACUGCGUUUAAUACUAGCAAGCUAGAGAAAUAGAGAGGAAAGUGGAACUCCCAGUGUAGAGGUGAAAUUCGUAGAUAUUGGGAAGAACACCAGUGGCGAAAGCGAUUUUCUGGCUAUUUUCUGACGCUGAGGAGCGAAAGCGUGGGGAGCAAACAGGAUUAGAUACCCCUGG